Molecule: ribosomal RNA, 969 nt
Filed under: uncultured bacterium
Lineage: Bacteria
Description: bacterial SSU rRNA
Rfam family: Bacterial small subunit ribosomal RNA
Source: RNAcentral
GCUUAAAGCGUACGUAGGCGGAGAUGCAGGCAUCGAGUGAAAUCCCUCGGCUCAACCGAGGAACUGCUCGGUGAACCGCAUCUCUUGAGACAGGUAGAGGUGUUCGGAACGCUAGGUGGAGUGGUGAAAUGCGUUGAUAUCUAGCGGAACGCCAAAGGAGAAAUCAGGCAACUGGGCCUGUUCUGACGCUGAGGUACGAAAGCGUGGGGAGCGAACGGGAUUAGAUACCCCGGUAGUCCACGCCGUAAACGAUGUGCACUAGGUCGUGGGGGUACUGACGCCGCCCUCGGCCGAAGCGAAAGUGUUAAGUGCACCGCCUGGGGAGUACGGUCGCAAGGCUAAAACUCAAAGGAAUUGACGGGGGCUCACACAAGCGGUGGAGCAUGUGGCUUAAUUCGAAGCAACGCGAAGAACCUUAUCCUGGGUUUGACAUGUAUGGAUUAACUCCCUGAAAGGGGAGCCACGCCUUCGGGUGGAACAUACACAGGUGCUGCAUGGCUGUCGUCAGCUCGUGCUGUGAAGUGUCGGGUUAAGUCCCUUAACGAGCGCAACCCCUAUCGCUAGUUGCCAACAGGUUAUGCUGGGGACUCUAGCGAGACUGCCGGUGUCAAACCGGAGGAAGGUGGGGAUGACGUCAAGUCCGCAUGGCCUUUAUGCCCAGGGCUGCACACGUGCUACAAUGGCGAGUACAGAGCGACGCAAUACCGCGAGGUGGAGCAAAUCGCAAAAAGCUCGCCCCAGUUCAGAUUGCAGGCUGCAAUUCGCCUGCAUGAAGUCGGAAUCGCUAGUAAUCGGAGAUCAGCUACGCUCCGGUGAAUACGUUCCUGAGCCUUGUACACACCGCCCGUCAAGUCAUGGAAGCUGGCAGCGCCCGAAGUCGCCCCGAUUCAGGGGUGCCCACGGCGAGGCUGGUGACUGGGACUAAGUCGUAACAAGGUAGCCGUAGGGGAACCUGCGGCUGGAUCACCU